This is a non-coding RNA of Fictibacillus phosphorivorans, 117 nucleotides long. NCBI's taxonomy places the organism in Bacteria, Bacillati, Bacillota, Bacilli, Caryophanales, Fictibacillaceae. The record is from Rfam.
AGUCCCUUUAAAUUCAGUCCAGAGAGGCUGGCAAGGGAGGUAUAUAUCAAGUGAGACGAUCCGUGUACACUUGUGCCUCCGCGGCCUCUUUUGCAAAAGCAGAAGAGGUUUUUUUUA